RNAcentral lists this ribosomal RNA (468 nucleotides) under uncultured bacterium. Its description in RNAcentral is "partial 16S ribosomal RNA". It matches the Rfam family "Bacterial small subunit ribosomal RNA", at positions 355 to 812 of the family's 1533-position model. The record is from RNAcentral.
UGGGGAAUUUUGGACAAUGGGCGCAAGCCUGAUCCAGCCAUGCCGCGUGCAGGAAGAAGGCCUUCGGGUUGUAAACUGCUUUUGUCAGGGAAGAAAUCCUUUGGGCUAAUACCCCGGAGGGAUGACGGUACCUGAAGAAUAAGCACCGGCUAACUACGUGCCAGCAGCCGCGGUAAUACGUAGGGUGCGAGCGUUAAAUCGGAAUUACUGGGCGUAAAGCGUGCGCAGGCGGCUUUGCAAGACAGAUGUGAAAUCCCCGGGCUCAACCUGGGAACUGCAUUUGUGACUGCAAGGCUAGAGUGCGGCAGAGGGAGAUGGAAUUCCGCGUGUAGCAGUGAAAUGCGUAGAUAUGCGGAGGAACACCGAUGGCGAAGGCAAUCUCCUGGGCCUGCACUGACGCUCAUGCACGAAAAGCGUGGGGAGCAAAACNGGAUUAAUNCCCUGGUAGUCCACGCCCUAAAANGAUGU